Rhopalosiphum maidis (corn leaf aphid) is the source of this 541-nucleotide long non-coding RNA. RefSeq lists it as uncharacterized. Lineage: Eukaryota; Metazoa; Arthropoda; Insecta; Hemiptera; Aphididae. The record is from RefSeq and is a predicted model, not a curated record. The transcript has 2 exons.
GUAGCUACUAACUGGGUAUACGUGGUCCGGAACGCACUGCCAAGGAACACUACCGCCACCGAGAGUGCCGCGAAUUUCUUGACUAGACCACGGCGGUGGCGUCGACUUGGUACCGUUCUGAGAGGGUCGUUCGGUGCCAUUGCUGUGGUGAAUGGAAAAACACGGUCAGACAGUGUUGGGAAAAAUAUGUAAAUUAUUAUGUCGAUGUCACAACACAAUGUUCAUCUCGUUUUACUAUCACUCAGCCAAGUCUCCAUAAUAUUAUUUAAAUGAGUAGUUGCAGAUUUAUUAUUGUUCAUAAGCCGUUAUUAAAUCGUAAAAAUGCAGAAACGCAGUUGGAUUACCGAGAUUGCUUUAUUAUUAUUAUUAUUAUUAUUUAAAAUAAAAUUAAUAUUAUUAACUCACCCAUUUGUCGACGACCUGGCUGAAUUGUAAGGGAAGUCUCGCAUCAGAUUUUCCGCCCUCCUAUUGUGCGCAUUGUCUUUCUGCUCGAGAUCGUGUAACCUAUAACAAGACAUCAAUAAACGUAUUUUAAAAAAUA